Molecule: microRNA precursor, 274 nt
Filed under: Amborella trichopoda
Lineage: Eukaryota; Viridiplantae; Streptophyta; Magnoliopsida; Amborellales; Amborellaceae
Description: miR8565c stem-loop (atr-MIR8565c)
Rfam family: MIR8565 microRNA precursor family (bases 53-206)
Source: miRBase by way of RNAcentral
GUUAUAAAAUAUUCUUAGUAUUAUCUUAAGAGUAAUGAUCCUCUGAGACCCUCCCACACCCAUGUGUGUAGGACUCCAAAGGAUCACAUUUAAAUUUGGCACAGAUCUCUAGAAAAGUUAUCAUAUGGGUGUGGAACUUGACUUUUCUAGAGAUCUGUGCCAAAUUUAUUGGUAAUCUUUUGGGGUCCUACACACAUGGAUGUGGAAGGGUCUCAUAACGUCCUUUCCCUUAUCUUAAAAUCUAUUUUCAUACCUAAUUAGAAAAUUUUAAAAU